CCUCAGUCUGUCAGGGCCACGGCAUCAUCUUCCCCGUAGCAUGAGUGAACCGCACGGGGAUCUGUGAAAACGCAUUACUGAAAAGACAGAGGAAAUUCUCCAGAUGACUUAGGCCAGGCAUCUGUAUAGCCUUCAACUCUACAAAAAUGACUGUCUCCUCGCAAUGGAGCUUGUGUAUUAGUUAUGGCUGCAUAGUCAAAAAGUGAUACAAGGCAGAGAGCAACUGUGCCACAGCAGCUACAUGGCGCUUGCUGACAAGAAACAGUCCAGAUGGACUAUGACAGAAACUUUUGAUGAGUAAGAUGUGUCCUACGUGGUGACUUCCUGCAGAAUGUCUUCGGCCUGAGCAGACCACAGCGUCUCAAUUGUUUCUCAGAACUCAUCCACCAUCUAAAGACAAACCCACCCAUGGAAAGUCAGCAUGCCAUAGCCAGGGGAGGAUGCCCGGUGUGACUGAGACCAUAGCAUUCAUCACUCCUUGUGCUGUGAUUUGAUCAUGUUCCCAAUGGCACACAUCCACAGGGUACCAGGUCAGUGAGCCAGCAGCUUACUGUGACACAGAAAGAGAGGUCUUGGAUCUAGAGUACAGACUUCCCAAAAUAGAUAAAAGAACGCUCUGUGAACUCAGCUGAAACAUUCAUGUCAUGGCCGUGGAAAUCCUGAAGAACACUCAUCACCAGGCAAACUCAAAAGGGCUCGUUUGUCAACAAAUUCAGAACAAGGAAGUUGAAGGAAAAAGAAAAAGAUAUGUAUCACACAUACAUAUGAAUGUAGUCUUCUCUGGUGCAGCUUAUGGACAUGACAGCAAGUCUUCAGGCACAAUAAGAAGAAAGGAAUUUAUUUAUAACUUAUAAACAAGACUCUCUGCCUAUCAAACAGCUAGUCUCAAGAGAAUAAUUGCUUUUUUUGAGUAUGGAGUGGAACACUUAACUUGGAAAUUAUUCUUUACAAAUAUUAAUUGAAUGGUCCACAAAGGUCUGUUUGAUAGCAAAGCAAUUAAAACUCAAGUGGAUGGAACUGGCUGCUGUGGUGUCAUGGAAACCUAGCCAUGGAAACCUGAUAGAAAUAUCAGGCUACGAAAGGAGAAGUGUUCAAGAAAUCACCAUGGACAGACUGUUGCCAAGAGCGUUGUUUGGAAAACCAUGCUUACAAAUCUGCAGCUUUGCUAUGCUGAAAACUAACUGGGGAUUCAGAAAAUAGUGGCACAUUGAUCUUAGGGAACUGAAUCGUUCAGAUCGAAGGGCUGAGAGGCUGAAGCCGCCUGUGAACCUGAUGCACCUCCAGCUCCACUCUCAACAAACCCCAUCAGUUUUCGGUCACAAAAGUGUUCCCAGUCUACGUCUUAUAAUGUGUCCCUCUAAGCUAUAACCUCCUAUCUCCAAAAGUUUCUCUCAAUACAUUUUCAUGGCAAGCUAUUUUUUUUCCAAGCACUCACCUUGCUUUAUGUUCAUUUGUGUCCUUCCUUCCUUCCGUCCUUCCGUCCUUCCUUCCUUCCUUCCUUCCUUCCUUCCUUCCUUCCUUCCUUCCUUCCUUUAUUAACUCAUUUACAGCUACAUUCAAUAAAUAUUUACUGGGAGCCUGUUCUGGUCCAGAUAUUGUUCCAGUCACUGGUUAUACAGUAGUGAAAAAUGGCAGGCGUUCACUGCCAUGGAGCAGACAUUUGAAUGGACACAGACAAGGGAAUAAAUAGCAAUCAAGAACAGUGCCUACUGUCCGAUGGGAAGACAGACAUGCAAUCUAUUAUCCCUCAGUGCCCUGAGCUAACAUCACACAAAUCAGACCAGGUCAGUGUCUGCUAAAAACCUCUCAAUGGCUUCCUGAGGCAAGCAGAGUAAAAUACAACUAACAAACAUGACCUACCCACAUCGACCCACUCAAGGUGUUACUUUGGUUGGCACACAUUAUGUGAACAAACAGGGCAUCAGAUCUGCGUCUUGAGAAUCAAGGGGAUUCUUCAAAGAACGAGGACUUUCCCCAGUCCCUUCUUCUUUAUCAUCUCCAGUUUCCUUUGCACGAGUAUUUUUUUUUUCUCGAGUGCACUCCAUAUUUUUUAAAAGGCCAGUUUCCCUUUGAUUACCAGACCAUUUCCUGGGAAGCUGAACUUGACAAGCUAUCUGACUUCAGCGCUCUCAUCCAUAAAGCGGGGAUGGCUGUGUUUUCCCUCCGCCACCUGACUCAAAGGACCUGAUUCUCUGCUCCCAAAUGAACAUUUGAUUCCUUCUUCCCUUUAAGCAAACAGACACGCUUCCUCCUUGAUUGCAGAUGAACUUACUGACAGCAGAAUGAGAGAAGUCCCUGAAAUAAGAGCAUGGUUCUUCAGUUCGCAGCAAGAUAACAGCGGAGGCACGAAACUUCUACCGCCUGGGAGACUGGUAACCUGUCACAGCAUCUCAGCCGACACCAAAGUCUUCUCUUCAGCAGGUAUUUUUGUGCAUUUAACCUUCACUGGGCUGGUGAUUACGCAACAUGUUUGUUCCCUAAGCACACAUUGUUCUCACAGGGACAGGACCAUCGCUAAAAAUCCCGCUCACAGCCUUCCUAUUCAUAAGUACCAGGCAAUGUCACAGAAAGACCUUCCUGGCUGAGGCGCUGACCAGUUCCUGAGGUGCCUAUGAAUCCUAGAAGGGGUGAAAACAUGGUUGAACCAAGGAAAGGCCAUAAAGACCAAGAAUGGAGAGGAACCCAGUGACCAUCACAGCCCUCUGUUCCUUGCCAGCAUCCACCUGGCCCUUUCCAGAGCAAGCCUGAACUCUGACUUGGCCCUGUUCGAAGAAGAUGAAGCAGAUUAGAACAGUAGUAGGCAGCUGGUCUUAGACUGCUCCAGGCCAAAGUUUUCCUAUCAGACCUCUUCCCGUGGAUUAUACCCUCAUGAUACAACAAAUUA
Non-coding RNA from Myodes glareolus (Bank vole), 2884 nucleotides. The record is from RefSeq and is a predicted model, not a curated record. NCBI's taxonomy places the organism in Eukaryota, Metazoa, Chordata, Mammalia, Rodentia, Cricetidae.